AACGCGAAGAACCUUACCUGGGCUCGAAGCGCAGUGGACUGGGGUAGAAAUAUCCCUUUCCCGCAAGGGACUGCUGCGGAGGUGCUGCAUGGCUGUCGUCAGCUCGUGUCGUGAGAUGUUGGGUUAAGUCCCGCAACGAGCGCAACCCUUAUCCCCAGUUGCCAUCAUUAAGUUGGGCACUCUGGUGAAACCGCCUCGGAUAACGGGGAGGAAGGUGGGGAUGACGUCAAGUCCUCAUGGCCUUUAUGUCCAGGGCUACACACGUGCUACAAUGGCCGGUACAAACCGUCGCAAACCCGCGAGGGGGAGCUAAUCGGAAAAAGCCGGCCUCAGUUCGGAUCGCAGUCUGCAACUCGACUGCGUGAAGCUGGAAUCGCUAGUAAUCGCGGAUCAGAAUGCCGCGGUGAAUACGUUCCCGGGCCUUGUACACACCGGCUAC
Molecule: ribosomal RNA, 439 nt
Filed under: uncultured bacterium
Lineage: Bacteria
Description: bacterial SSU rRNA
Rfam family: Bacterial small subunit ribosomal RNA
Source: RNAcentral